AACGGAGGGUGCAAGCGUUAUCCGGAAUCACUGGGUUUAAAGGGUGCGUAGGCGGCUUUAUAAGUCAGAAGUGAAAGAUUUAAGCUUAACGAUAGAAUUGCCUUUGAUACUGUAAAGCUAGAAAGUGGUUGAGGUCAGCAGAAUGUGGCAUGUAGCGGUGAAAUGCAUAGAUAUGCCAUAGAACACCGAUUGCGAAGGCAGCUGGCUGGCCUUACUUUGACGCUGAGGCACGAAAGCGUGGGUUGCGAACAGG
Molecule: ribosomal RNA, 253 nt
Filed under: uncultured bacterium
Lineage: Bacteria
Description: partial 16S ribosomal RNA
Rfam family: Bacterial small subunit ribosomal RNA
Source: RNAcentral